UUUGACCUCGGAUCAGGUAGGAAUACCCGCUGAACUUAAGCAUAUCAAUAAGCCGGAGGA
RNAcentral lists this ribosomal RNA (60 nucleotides) under Diaporthe cotoneastri. Its description in RNAcentral is "partial 28S ribosomal RNA". Lineage: Eukaryota; Fungi; Ascomycota; Sordariomycetes; Diaporthales; Diaporthaceae. The record is from RNAcentral.